AGGAUGAACGCUGGCGGCGUGCCUAAAACAUGCAAGUCAUACGGACUACCUUCGGGUAGUCAGUGGCAAACGGGUGAGUAACACGUGGGAACACGCCUUCGAGUGGGAAUAACGCUGAGAAAUCAGUGCUAAUACCGCAUAUGGUCGAGAGACUAAAGCAGCAAUGCGCUCGGAGAGUGGCCCGCGGUCGAUUAGCUAGUUGGUGGGGUAAUGGCCUACCAAGGCGGCGAUCGAUAGCUGGUCUGAGAGGAUGGUCAGCCACACUGGGACUGCGAACGGCCCAGACUCCUACGGGAGGCAGCAGUUAGGAAAUUUUCGUCAAUGGACGCAAGUCUGAACGAGCGACGCCGCGUGAAGGAUGAAGGCCUCUCGGGGUGUAAACUCUUUUUUACGGAAGAUAAUGACGGUACCGUAAGAAUAAGCACCGGCUAACUACGUGCCAGCAGCCGC
RNAcentral lists this ribosomal RNA (450 nucleotides) under uncultured bacterium. Its description in RNAcentral is "SSU rRNA". It matches the Rfam family "Bacterial small subunit ribosomal RNA", at positions 26 to 518 of the family's 1533-position model. The record is from RNAcentral.